UGUCUUCUUUGUCAUAAGUUGCUUGCUGUAUCUCCAGACACAGCAUCAGAGCUCCAGGCAAAAAAAGGAGAAAAUGACAGGCAAAGCUUUGCCCAUUUAUUUUGAUGGCAAACUUGCCCUAAGGACUUCGGGCUACUUUGAAACAGCUAGGAUGAUGUCUCCUGGCUCCUUACCUGAAGGGGGAUGCGCAUCUGGGUCAUUGUCUUUUCAUUCUGUAAUGGAGGAAGGUCACCACAACUCACACUGAUCACUUCUCCAUUAGCGUCUCUACAAACCAAGAGGGGUCCUAUCCAAGGAGCGGCAUGUGGGGCUGAUGUUCAGACUCGUGAUUUUCUGGAGAAAAUGAAGACACCUCAAUGCCAGCUGCCAUGAAAAAGGAUACAAAUACCAUUGC
Grammomys surdaster is the source of this 394-nucleotide long non-coding RNA. RefSeq lists it as uncharacterized. Lineage: Eukaryota; Metazoa; Chordata; Mammalia; Rodentia; Muridae. The transcript is spliced from 3 exons. The record is from RefSeq and is a predicted model, not a curated record.